UACAUAGGGUGCAAGCGUUAAUCGGAAUUACUGGGCGUAAAGCGUGCGCAGGCGGUUUUGUAAGUCUGAUGUGAAAUCCCCGGGCUCAACCUGGGAAUUGCAUUGGAGACUGCAAGGCUAGAAUCUGGCAGAGGGGGGUAGAAUUCCACGUGUAGCAGUGAAAUGCGUAGAGAUGUGGAGGAACACCGAUGGCGAAGGCAGCCCCCUGGGUCAAGAUUGACGCUCAUGCACGAAAGCGUGGGGAGCAAACAGG
Molecule: ribosomal RNA, 253 nt
Filed under: uncultured bacterium
Lineage: Bacteria
Description: partial 16S ribosomal RNA
Rfam family: Bacterial small subunit ribosomal RNA
Source: RNAcentral